Halocaridina rubra (Hawaiian volcano shrimp) is the source of this 73-nucleotide non-coding RNA. NCBI's taxonomy places the organism in Eukaryota, Metazoa, Arthropoda, Malacostraca, Decapoda, Atyidae. The record is from the annotation of a GenBank genome assembly.
ACCUUGGGUGGUGUAGUUGGUGGCGCAUGGACUUAGUAAUUAUAAGUCCUAGGUUCAAGUCCCAGUUAGGGUA